This 71-nucleotide transfer RNA is filed under the name Patescibacteria group bacterium. RNAcentral describes it as "tRNA-Ala". It matches the Rfam family "tRNA". Rfam says of the family: Transfer RNA (tRNA) molecules are approximately 80 nucleotides in length. The record is from RNAcentral.
GGGCCUGUGGUUCAGUGGUAAAACACCCCAUUCGCAUUGGGGAAACGGGAGUUCGAUUCUCCCCAGGUCCA